RNAcentral lists this ribosomal RNA (253 nucleotides) under uncultured bacterium. RNAcentral's name for it is "partial 16S ribosomal RNA". It matches the Rfam family "Bacterial small subunit ribosomal RNA", at positions 524 to 776 of the family's 1533-position model. The record is from RNAcentral.
CACGGGGGGAGCAAGCGUUGUUCGGAAUCACUGGGCGUAAAGGGCGUGUAGGCGGUUGUGUAAGUGGGAUGUGAAAUGCCUCGGCUUACCCGAGGACCUGCAUCCCAUACUGCAUGACUUGAGUACGGGAGAGGAUGAGGGAAUUCCUGGUGUAGCGGUGAAAUGCGUAGAUAUCAGGAGGAACACCGGUGGCGAAGGCGCUCAUCUGGCCCGAUACUGACGCUGAGGCGCGAAAGCUAGGGUAGCGAACGGG